Myotis brandtii (Brandt's bat) is the source of this 88-nucleotide long non-coding RNA. RefSeq lists it as uncharacterized. Lineage: Eukaryota; Metazoa; Chordata; Mammalia; Chiroptera; Vespertilionidae. The transcript is spliced from 3 exons. The record is from RefSeq and is a predicted model, not a curated record.
AUAAUAAAAAAGCCAAAGGUUAAAGACAAAGAGAGAAUCUUAAAGGUAGGAAGAGCAAAGCAGUUAGUUACCAACAAGUGAGCUCCCA